This 1257-nucleotide unclassified non-coding RNA is filed under the name Hevea brasiliensis (rubber tree). The record is from RNAcentral. Lineage: Eukaryota; Viridiplantae; Streptophyta; Magnoliopsida; Malpighiales; Euphorbiaceae.
GCAUAAUCCAAACCAGAGCUUAUUGCUGAACCAAUAUUCAGGUUGGUUAUUCCACUUAAAAGCCACACAUAGAGGCAUCAAAUAAUCCUCAAAACUUCCAACUGAAUGCAGAAUCUGUCAAUUCAAAAUUUCUAUAAAAAAGAAAAGGAGAGUAUGAGUGGAGAAGGAAAAGUGGUGUGUGUAACAGGAGGUUCAGGUUACAUAGCUUCAUGGCUGCUCAAGUUUUUGCUUCAGCGUGGUUAUACAGUUAAGGCUACUGUGCGUGACCCAGAUGAUCCUAAGAAGACAGAGCACUUACGUGCUCUUGAUGGAGCAAAAGAAAGACUUCUCUUGUUCAAAGCAAAUUUACUGGAAGAAGGAGUUUUUGAUGCGGUUGUUGAUGGAUGUGAAGGUGUAUUUCACACAGCUUCUCCUGUUAUUCGUUCAACAAAUGAACCUCAGGCAGAAAUUCUUGAACCUGCAAUAAAGGGAACCCUAAACAUUCUCAAAUCAUGUGCAAAAUUUCCUUCCGUGAAGAGAGUUGUUUUAACAUCUUCAAUACUAACAGUAAUGCGCAAAGGACAAGUUCUGGCCUCUGAUGUGGUAGUUGAUGAGACUUGGUUUGCAGAUCCAGCUUUUUAUCAGGAAAAUAAGCAUUGGUAUGCUCUUUCAAAAACCUUAGCUGAAGAUGCUGCUUGGAAAUUUGCAAAAGAAAAUGGAAUUGACUUGGUAACAAUGCAUCCAGGAUGGGUGAUUGGUCCUCUCUUGCAGCCAACUCUCAAUCUCACUGUGGAGAUGGUUCUGAACCAUAUAAAAGGAUUGGAAACAUUUCCAGAUGAUAUUGACAGGUUUGUUGAUGUUAGAGAUGUUUCUAAUGCACAUAUUCAAGCAUUUGAAAAAGCUUCAGCUAGUGGCAGAUACUGUUUGGUUGGAAAACUUGGACACAUCUCUGACUUAGUGAAGAUUGUGCAUGAACAUUACCCUACAUUGCUCCUUCCUGAAAGAUGUGAAUACAGCAAGCCUUUUGUGCCAGAAUAUGAGGUUUCCAAGGAGAAAGCUAAAGCUUUGGGCAUAGACUUCACUCCUUUAGAGGCUACUGUGAAGGACACCAUUGAAAGCUUGAAGGAGAAAGGCUAUCUUGAUGUCUGAAUAUUGUGAAUUUUUUCUUUCUUUUUUGGUACUUUUUGCAGCAGUUUACACAUACCGAGAUUAAAUAUUCAGAAUAAUGUGAUUUAUUCUGCCUUCCAAAUGCAAUAAUAGUAAAUUACAAGAUGUCUG